Molecule: long non-coding RNA, 742 nt
Filed under: Helianthus annuus (common sunflower)
Lineage: Eukaryota; Viridiplantae; Streptophyta; Magnoliopsida; Asterales; Asteraceae
Description: hypothetical non coding rna
Source: RNAcentral
UCCUCCACUCAACCAUCACUAAUUGAAUCAUCCUCCGAUCCAAAACCCUAAUCGAUCCAAAACCCUAAUUGCUCCCAAAAGUGGCGACCGUUGGACUUUAGCAAUGAGCUAAUGAUUUCUUAGGGUUCAGUUUGUUGUGAACUAUGAACAACAUCUUGUUAUUCUUAAUCGAAGAAGUGGACUUUCAUUGGAGGACAAACUCCCUGGUGAAUCAGUUACAUUAGGCGAAGCAUUAAUGGCGCCAACUGUAAUUUAUGUUAAACAGGGUGCUUAGCAUUAUCAGCAAGGGAGGCCUCAAAGGAAUCACCCACAUAACAGGAUGGAAACAUUGAAGAUGCUGAAAUGAAGCGUACAUUUAAUAUGGGAAUCGGGAUGGUUUUGGUUGCUGGCGAAAAGGCUGCCCAAAGGAAAGAGAUUAAAAAGUUGAACUUAGUUAUAAGGAGCUCAUUAAGGAAAAGGAUGAAGAAAAAGAAAGGUUAAAUGGGAUUAUCGUGGGGUUGUUGGCUGGAAAAGAAAAAGAUAAGGUGGAGAAAGAUACUAUGCUCGAUAGGAUGUCACAAAUUGAAGCUAGGCUACAAACACUUGGUUUUAAAUGUUUCGAUGUUUAUCAUAUUAGGAUAAUUUUAGUUAUCUAAUGUUUUAGCAGGUAUUUCUAUUAGAAUGUUUUAUAUGCUUUUGAUACAGAGAUGUUUUAUAUAAUUUUGAGUUUUCAUAUAUUAGACUUUAAUAUAAUUUUGUAAUU